CCUACGGGAGGCAGCAGUGGGGAAUCUUCCGCAAUGGGCGAACGCCUGACGGAGCAACGCCGCGUGAUCUAAUGAAGGCCUUCGGGUUGUAAAGAUCUGUUGACAGGGACGAAUAAGCAAUGCGAAUAGUUUUGUGUAUGACGGUACCUGUUUAGAAAGCUCCGGCUAACUACGUGCCAGCAGCCGCUGUAAUACGUAGGGAGCAAGCGUUGUCCGGAAUUACUGGGCGUAAAGGGCGCGUAGGUGGGCGCUUAAGUCAGGUGUGAAAACUCCGGGCUCAACCUGGAGACUGCACUUGAAACUGGGUGUCUUGAGGGCAGGAGAGGAAAGUGGAAUGCCUAGUGUAGCGGUGAAAUGCGUAGAUAUUAGGAGGAACAUCAGGGGCGAAGGCGACUUACUGGACUGUAACUGACACUGAGGCACGAAAGCGUGGGGAGCAAACAGGAUUAGAUACCCUAGUAGUC
This 464-nucleotide ribosomal RNA is filed under the name uncultured bacterium. Its description in RNAcentral is "partial 16S ribosomal RNA". It matches the Rfam family "Bacterial small subunit ribosomal RNA", at positions 338 to 795 of the family's 1533-position model. The record is from RNAcentral.